RNAcentral lists this long non-coding RNA (10492 nucleotides) under Cricetulus griseus (Chinese hamster). RNAcentral describes it as "lncRNA (ENSCGRG00015041973.1)". Lineage: Eukaryota; Metazoa; Chordata; Mammalia; Rodentia; Cricetidae. The record is from RNAcentral.
GGAAGUCUUGGCCAGAUAACAUCUCAUCUCGAUAAAUAAAGAAGUGGCAAUAAUGUAGAUGUAUUGCUUAGCGAUAGGGAAGCAGCAUCCAGAAGAAUUAAACACUGUAGAUGCUAAAAACUCAGACUUGCUCCAAGGUUUAAGUCAAAGGAAAAGUUUGAAUUGAAGACAGGAGGGAGCAGCAGGAUCCUGGCUCUCACAGUCCCGUGUUCAGCACCAGGGUGGAUCCAUGUAUGUCUCUCUUUGGGUUCUCUUUGUUACGAAGGUUCUCUGGGGUUGUGGACUGCAUGCUGGUUAUCCUUUGCUUUAUGUCUAAUAGCUAUUCGUGAGUGAGUACAUACCAUGUUUGUUUUUUUGGGGGGGUGAGUUACCUCAUUCAGGAUGUUUUUUUCUAGUUCUAUCCAUUUGCCUGCAAAUUUCAAGAUGUCAUUGUUUUUUUACGGUGAGUAAUACUCCAUUGUGCAAAUAUACCACAUUUUCUUUAUCCAUUCUUUGGUUGAGGGGAAAUGGCUGAAAGACACUUAAGGAAAUGCUCAACAUCCUUAGUCAUGAGAGAAAUGAAAAUCAAAACAACUCUGAGAUACCAUCUUAAACUGAUCAGAAUGGCUAAGAUCAAAAAAACACCGAUGACUGUUUAUGCUGGAGAGGAUGUGGAGAAAGGGGAACACUGCUUCAUUUCUGGUGGGUGUGCAAACUUGUACAGCCACAUUAGAAAUUAGAAUGGUAGUUUCUCAGAAAAUUGGGAAUCAAUCUACUUCAAGACCCAGCAAUACCACUUUUGGGCAAAUACCCAAAGGAUACACACUCGAACCACAAGGACAUUUGCUCAACUAUGUUCAUAGCAACAUUAUUUGUAAUAGCCAGAAAAGGGCUUGGUUUUAUCUAAGACAAGGUCUCACUGUGUAGCCCUGGCUAGCCUGGAACUUACUAUGUAGAUCAGGUUAGCCUGGAGUUCACAGUGUUGAUAUUAAAGGCAUGUGCCAGUACACUGGGUCGUGGACACUCUUAUAAUCAUGUGUCCAUAUGACAUUGGCACACACUUGUCAAAAAAUGUAGACUAUAAAAACAUAGGGUGAAAAUUAUUUUUAAAAACUGUAAAAGGAAAAAGAGGGUUGGGGAUAUGAAUCCGUAGGUAAAGUGCUUGCAACACAGCAUGAAUUUGAUUCCUCCAGAACCUACAGUUUUUUUUUUUUUUUUUUUUUUUUAAAGCUAGUAUUGGUCAACUGGCAGGAUAAAGGCACUUGCUGCCAAGCCUGAUAACUGGAGUUUAAUUCCCAGAACCCACAUGGAAGAAAGAAACAAUCAACUCCUCCAAGUUGACCUCUGACCUCCUUAUGUGCCCUGUGGCAUACACAUGUCCCCACACAAUAAAUAAAUUAAAAUGUAAUAAUAAGAAAGCCCGGUGAGGUGGUGAAUUCUUGUAGUCCUGGCACUGAGGAGGUGAAGACAGGAGGACCCUGAGGCUCACUGACCAGCCAGUGCAAUUGAAUUGGGGAGCUCCAGGCUCAGUGAGGGACCUUGUCUCAAAAACUAAGAUGGAUGACAACUGAGCAAGACCCCUCAAGGUCAGAGUUUGGCCUCUACAUGCAUAAGCACAUAUGUGCAUGCACACAUGUACACAUACAAAGAAAGAAGAGGAAAGAAAAAGUGAGGGUGUGGUCAAUGGCAGAACACUUGCCUAUCACAAGUGAGAUCUGGCUUAGUCCUCAGCAGCAUAGAUGGGAUAUUUUCACCUCUAAUGUAAUAGACCAUUGACCCAAGAAACUACAUGUAUGCAGUAUUCUAAGUUACCAUUCCCUUCUUGAGCCAUGGUGCAUGCUAAUAAAUUAUUUACACCUUUAUCUUUUUUUUUUUUUACUACAUCCUGCAAUUAACCUAUCUACUUUCCUUUCCGUUUCUUCUUGCUCUUUGCAAACAUUGUAGAAAUGAUUUCUCUUUAAACUUGAAGAUGAUUCAACCAUGUAUGGAACGUUUCUUUCUGAUGGACUGUUAUGUGAAACAGGGUAGUUUCCCGUAGUCAGCUGGAUUUAAAAUGUGCCUGAGAUAAAUACACAGAGAGGAAAGUGGACACUGGAGGUUGAGGAGUAACUGUCAUGGGUGAGCACUGUUUUAUAGGGAGAUGACAACUUGUGGGAGUCAGCUUUUUCCUCCUACUGUAUAGGACCUGGGGGUCAAACUCAGGCCAUCAGGAUUGGCAGCAAGCACCUUUACUCACUGAGCCACCCUGAAGCCCAUUUUUAGCCUCUCUCUCUCUCACUCACUCACUCACUCACUCACUCACUCACUCACUCCCCGGAGCUGAGGUGACAAGCACACACCCACCAUACCCAGAUUUUCUAUUCUGUGAGUUCAAAGGGAUGCAAAUCAAGUUUUUGUGGGGCAGUGAGAGGGCUCAAAAGUUAAAAAUACCUGUUGCUGCACCUGAUGACCUGAGUUCAAUUCCCCAGAACAACACAUUAGGGGAACACAGACUCAUCAGGUUGUCCUCUGACUUCCACACACUUGUAUCCUUCUUCAUGUGCCCCCUUCAGUUUUAUACAAAAUAGGUACAACAGGUUUUUAUUUUGAAUUUGUUUGUUUGUUUGUUUGUUUUAAAUAGUCUUUGCACUUUCAAAGCAAGCACUUGACUUAAUGGGCCGUCACCUCUGCUGGCCCCUCUUACUCAUUUUCAAGUACACACAGCUCAACAUUCCUCUGCUUAAAUCAAGAAGUAAAUUUUAAGUAUUACUCCAAUGUAAUUGAAAUUUCCUAUACUCACAGCUUCUUUUCCUUGCACAUGGUUUUUAAAAAAAACUAUAGUUUUGUUUCUCCUUUUUUAUGCAAAGCCAAUUUUUUUUUUCACCUCUUCCAGGUUCAUCUUCUAAAAAUCCCUUCAUGAGGGAAUUCAUUACUAAGGAGCUUAGGACUUAAUAAACAAAACUAGUUUAUGAAAAUGAAGGUCACAAUUAAACUAGGGGAAAAUACAGAUUUUCUUCACACAUUUAUUACAAUAAAACAUCUAUUACGCAUUUGGCUGCUAAAAUUAGUAAUUAAUGUCUACUCGGCAUUUCUUUCUUUGGGGGAACUUUCUAGAACUUCUGCUUUUUUUGAGUUUCAGUUAGAAGCAUGUUGAUUUUUAUUUUGACACAUGACAUCCAUGAAAAGUGCUUUCUCCCUGUUCGUCAUUAUCACUUCACUAUUGAUUUUAUGAAUUAAAGGUAGUUGGCCUCUACUGUCUGCUCUCAGUAAAAUUCCAAGAUAUUGGGCAGUCCUGCCAAAAAUCAUUGCUGGAGUUGUUAGGGUCAGAGCCUGGCCCCUGGCAGUCCUAUCAAGCUAGACUCAGCUGUCCAUCCUCAACAGACCAAAUAAGCAGGUAAGUGGUAGUGAAAAGCUGAGAAAGGAAAUUUACUCAUUGUGGUCACAUUAGAAAGACGAAUAAAGAGGUCCAGUGAUCCACCCACAAGGCCAUCUUUGGGGACUUGACCUGAGGGUCAGUUUUAAAUAGAGGGUAAAAGGUGUGCACAGUUAAUCAGUCCUGGAUAAGGUGUGGUCCUUCUCCCCACUAACCCAUUGACAUCUCAGCUCUAGUUUGCUUGUGUUUGCAAGGCAGUCUAAUAAAUUAUCAGAACAGCAAGAAACCUCUUUCCAGGAGACAGUUCCUUCUCCAGCUGGCACCAGAGUUUAGCCUUUCCCUUCUCCUAGCAUGAGAUUCCCUGGGAAAUUCCAAUUUCUUGGGGGGUCACUAUCUUAAUGGCCUGAUAGCCAAAGCAAGGGGGUAUACAUGUCUCUGUAGCAUAUCCUCAUUUCUGACAUUAGAAAUAAUGUUAGGUUCAGAAGUUGAUGUCAAAUUCAGGUCUCACUCUUACAGAACAUGUGAUCUUGGGCCAGUAAGGACAAUACUCUAAACUUGGUUUCUCCAUUUGUUAAUUGAUAAGACUAAAUUAGAACCCAUGGCUUUGUUCAUUUCGCACAGCUAUAACAGAACCCUACAGACUGGGUGAUUUAUAAUGAACAGAAUUUUUUUCUCACAGUUCUGGACUGGGAAGUCCAAGAUCAAGGCACCCUUAGGUUUGACACUGGGGGAGAGGACUGGGUCUUUUUCAAGAUGAAAUCUAGAAGCUGCAUCUCCAGAGGGGAUGGAUGUUGUUCCUUACAGGGAAGAGCAGCUGGAGCAGAAGACCCAUCCCAAUAAGCCCUGUCACACCAACAUUAUUCUGUUCGUGAGAUGAACACCUCCUUUUGUCCUACCUUAGGGAUUAACUGGUCAACGCACGAAACUGGAGAGGACAAAGAGAUUCAGACUAAGGGCUGGGAAUGCAGCUUAGUUGACAUUGUGGUCACAUUAGAAAGACGAAUAAAGAGGUCCAGUGAUCCACCCACAAGGCCAUCUUUGGGGACUUGACCUGAGGGUCAGUUUUAAAUAGCGGGUAAAAGGUGUGCACAGCGUAGCAUGUACAAGGACCUGGGUUUAAGCCCUAGUGCCAGAUAAACCACGAUUGGUAGCUCAUAUCUUUAACGCCACCAUUUGGAGGUGAAGACAGAAGAACCAGAAGUUUAAGGUUAUCCUCAUGCUACAGGGUGAGUCUGAGGCCAGCCUAGUUUAGAGAUAUGAGAGUCAAAGGAAAAAAGAAAGGAAGGAAGGAAAAUAGAGAGAGAAGGAAGAAAGGAGGGAGGGAGGAAGAUUCAAACUGCAGCAACUCAUUUCAUUGUGUUGUGAAAAUUUAAAAAAAAACUAAAACAUGUAACAUUAGUAGCUUAAUAUUUGACAAUAAUACGCAUCAGUAAAUCAACAUUAUGACAGAUAUUUUUAAGGUCCUUUGAACUGGGCGUGGUCUCACACACCUAUGAUCCUGACACUCAGGAGUCAAAGGCAGAAGGAUUGCCCAGGAAUUCAAGGCCAGGCAGGGGUACAGAGUGAGAACUUAACUAAAAACAACAACAACAAAACUUGGCUACAAAGAAGAGUGAUUUAUUAAACUGAUGGAUAGGAGUAUUGUCAGGACAUUCAAGGGAAUAAAAAUUUUAGAACCCUCCAGAGAAAUCUGGAAAAAUGAGAGUCAGGUCUCUCCCCACCCCAAUAUGAUUCCUCCUCUAGAACUGUAAGUCAAAACAAACUCUUCCAUAAGUUGUUUCUUCUUUACGUUGCUUUGGCCAUGGUGUUUUAUCAAGCAUCAAAAAUUAACUGCUACACCAGAUAACCUGCAAGCUGGGUGGGUGGAGUAGGACACCAUAAAGCAGAUGUCUUGAUGCUUUCUUAGAAUUCUACCUACCACAGGAGGGGACUCUAUCCUGGUUUGAUUUUUUUCUGUGAUAAAACACUGACUAAAAGAAACUUGGGUGGGGGGAGGAUUUAUUAUAUCUUACAGGUUAGAGUCUAUCAUCAAGGGAAGCCAAGGCUGGAGGUCAAGAAAAGAACCUGGAGGUAAGGACUGAAGCAGAAGCCAUGGAGAAAAGCUGCUCACUGGCUUGUUUCUCUUGGCUUUCUCAGCCUGAUUUGUUAUACCAUCCAGGACCAUCUGCCUAAGGAUGGCACUGCCCACAGUGGGCUGGGCCCUCCCAUAUCAAUCAUUAAUCAAGAAUAUGUCCCAUAGAAUUUUCUACAGGAAAAUUUGAUGGAAACAUUUUCCCAAGUCAAGUUCUCUCUUCCCAGAUGACCCUGGCUUGUGUCAAGUUAACAAAAAGCUAACCAACACAGACCCACUAAUACCUCCAUCUUCCUGAUGUAGGACAAGGCACAGUCCUACAGCUUGGAAGGAGCAGAGCUGGUGUUUGGGCUCUACUUCCACCACUUUGUAUAUCCUUAGCAACAUCCAAUUGUUCAUUGAAUUAAUGUUUUUCUCUCCACUAAGAAAGCUUUUUUGAUGAUCUCUACUGACAUUAAUGUUUGCUAUUUGUCCCUAAGCUGUUGACUAAUCAGGUAUUUCAUAUUAGUAAUUUCACCUAGUCCUUCAGGUGAAAAAAAAUCAUGAAUUUUUGUUCUUAUUGUUUUGAGGUCUUGUUUGCUUGCUUGUUUGUUUUGAGACAGGUUUCUUGUAGCCCAGGCUGCCCUCAGAUUCCCCAUGUAGUUGAGGAUGUCCUUGAACUUCUGAUCCUCAUAUCUAUACCUCCUGAGUGCUGGGAACAAAUAGCAUGAGCCACCAUGUUGGUUUAUGCAAUACUGGAAAAGGCUAAGCGAGCAUUUUACUCAGAGCUACGUUACCAACCCCAAGUUCUUCUUAGUCCACCAAAGGAACCAGAGCCCAUCCAUGUUUACAUUUUUUUUCUGUAUUGAGUUACAGACUUAAUUUCAUUCAUUAAUUAAAUUUCUUUAACAUUUUCAUUGAUUCACAGUUAUUGCACAUGGAAGUAGGUUAUAAGGACAUAAUCAUGUAAACAUUAUCUUUUCCCCCUAUUUAUUAAUUUUUUUUACAUUCCAAUCCCAGUUCUCCCUCCUUUCUUUCUUCCCACUCCCUCCACUUGCCCCUUCUCCCAUCUGCUCCACAGAAAGGGUAAGGCCUCCCAUAGGAAGUCUACUAAGUCUGUCCCAUCAUCUAGUUUAGGCAGGACCAAGACACCUCUCCAUCCCCACACCCCUAGGAUGAGCAUGUCUAGGCUGGGCAUGGUAUCUCUCCAUAUAGAAUGGGCUCCACUAAGUCAGUUUGUACAUUAAUGUUAGGUCUUGUUAGGCCUGUGGCCUCAUAUAUUGUCCCAAUCACACCAUUGUCACCUAUAUUAAGGGAGUCUAGUUUGGUCUUAAAGCAUUAUCUUAUAAGGGCAUUUUCAUACAGGUGUUUUGAAGACUUCUGCUUUUAAAAUACCUGGUUUGAAAGCCACUGGGUGGUUGUAGAAGGAGAAUUCAGCUUUGAAGAGAUGCCUGGAUCUCAAUCCCAGCACUGCUUCUUAACUGAAAGUAACCUUGGGUGAACUGUGUAGUUUUUCUGAGUCUCCAUUUCCUAAUCAGUACACCGUAGAAAAUGAUGCCAAGGCUAGAGGUGGUAAUGCCCUUGAGGCCAUUGCUAUGUUCAUAACAGGAGUUAGUGGUUACUCAGGGCAUGUUGGCUGAGCAAGUUAAUACCUUACAUGGAAACGGCAGGGCUCCACAGUUGCUUAGUUAAAGGAGUCGAUCCUCGUUAUUUUUCCAAGCUUUCUUUUCUGAUUUUAUCAUCUUGCUCAACAGUGAUACCUGCAUUUCAAUUUUUGGAAAGACAUUAAUUGUGGAGGAUGGCUAAAAUUGGUUAGGGAAGGUGAGAUGACUCAGCUGGUUAAAGUGACAGUUGCACCAGUCUGAGUAGCCGCAUUGAUCACAUCUGUAAUCCUAACACUCCUGUGAGAUGAGAGGUAGAGAUGGAAGAGUUAGUCAGAAGUUGCAUAUGCAGUACAGCAGGAGAAACAAGAAAGACACUGACUCAAAACAACAUGGAAAAAAAACCAACUCAAUUCCUAAAGACUUGUCUUUGACCUUCACAUCACACAAACACAAACACACACACACAUACACACACACACACACACACACACACACACACACACACACAAACACACAAACAACUUUUUAAAAAACAUUGGGUAAGGAACAGUUGAGAGGAUUUGAUUUUGCCCUAUAUAUGUUACAGCCAUUCCAAGGAAAAUAUAUUCGUGUAUUAAUUGCUCAAAUAGAAACACAUUUUUUGUUGUUAGCUGAAAGCUUCACCACAUACCCCGGGAAUGCUCUUCCACCAGAAUAGAGGCUUGUUUUGACUUCAUAUGUGGAACUGCACUCCCCCCACUGCAUAUAUUCCUAACAGUGUCCAAUUUUCCACCUAAUUGAUAUGCUCUUCUUUCCACAGAGCACAGUGUUCUGAAGCAUGCAACCCACUUCUCUUGUAGAAACGUCUUGUCUUUUUCAACAGCUGCCUCGCCCUCUGUCAUCCAAACCUGUUACUAUGUGCAGAACCACACUGACUAAUUCAUCUAAGCUCUUUAUCUUAUCUCACUGGGAAAGGCUCUGGUUACCACAUCUCCUUUCUUACUCCUCCACACAUGGAGUACUGUUGUAUGCAGUUGGACAGUGAUCUUUUAACUCUUCGAUGCCUGGAAACUUCCCUUUUGACAGCUUUCCUCCUGGAUCUUGGGAGAUGGCUCAGUUAGUGUAAUGAGCUUGCUGCACACACACCUGAGUUCAGAUCUGCAGCACACAAGUACAUGUGUCUGAAACCCCAGCUCAGGAAAUGUCUGAGACUGAAGGAUCAAUGGAGCUCACUGGACAGCCAAGCAAGCCAGCUGGUGAGCUCCAGGUUCAGUGAGAGACUGCUUCAAACAGUAAGAUAGAAAGUGAAGUGUUAAAAAAGACACUUGUAAUCAGCCUCUGACCUCCAUGUGCAUAGGACAUUUUCACUGCAUACAAGACACACACACACACACACACACACACACACACACACACACACACACACAGAGAGAGAGAGAAACAGACACACACAGAAACAGACAAACACAGAGAAACAGACGCGCACACACACAUAACAGAGAUAAACAGAUACACACACACACACAAAUGCACACCCCAUACACACACACACACACACACACACACACACACACACACACACACACGUGCACACAAACACACGAAUGCAAACUCAUCCAUCCACCACAAUUUUUUCAGUCUCCACGAUUGUCUACAAUAGAAUAAGUUGUGACUAAGAAGCAAGUUUCCCUUCCUGUAACAGAUCUCCAAUUGAUGGUUCCUUUUCAAAACUCUGACGUCUGAUUGAGGUUCGACAUGUUCAUGUGCCCACUUCCUUGGCCCAAGUCCUUAACCCUGUGCUGAACUAAUUGUACCUGGGAGACUUUUGUUUCUCUAUUAAUUUAACUCAAGUACUUAAUCCUGUGAUGCAUCGUACACGGGAUACUUUUGUUUCUCCUCUGUUAAUUUGAGUCAAGACUUCAUUUGUUUCUCCACUCAUUGUCACACAGCAAGCUGAUUUUAUAGUUCCUUUUCAGUAACUAAAUCAGUAACUGAAGCUACCUUUGAAAAUGUUUUAAAAUGCAUUUUCAUUUAUGUGCAUGUGUGCUUGCCGGUCUUAUGGGCACCACAUGUAUGCAGUGCAUACAGAGGCCAAGAGAAGGUGUUGGAUCCCUGGAACUGAAGCUAAUACAAGAGCUUUCACAGAUGUACCCUACCAAUUUUUUGUUUGUUUGUUUGUUUGUUACAUUGUGUUGCUGGAGUAGUCUGGAUUUCAAAUACUCUCCUUGGAGGGAACAUAAACAGAGCAGUCUACACCCGGAAACAGAAAAGCUGUACAUAGUUGGAAUGUCAACUCAUAAAACUGGACUACAGAUCACAGCAAGGACACACCCAAGAAUGGUGACUCCUGAUGACACAUCUCAGUUUCUGGUCUAGCAACAGCUCCUCUGUCCUGUCUUACUGCCACUAAGCAGCAUUUGUCAGAGUCAGUGUAAGGCCGGGACAUGGAUGUCAUAGGGCAUGGACAUCAGACCCUCUGCUGCGAUUAGGUACAAUUGCUUUAGCUCAGGUGGGCUCAGGAGAUAGCUGCAAACUAAACACCGUAGCUAAGACGCCCUCAGGGUGAGCCUGACCAGGAUGAGGUAGAGCUGAACCAAGCACUCACCGGAAGGUGUUAGAAACACCUGGGCCCCUCUGGCAGAGUGGACUGUAUUAUGAGUGAGUACAUACCAUGUUUGUCUUUUUGUGACUGGGUUACCUCACUCAGGAUGGUUUCUUCUAGUUCCAUCCAUUUGCCUUCCAAUUCCAAAGGAGGACCCCAAGAGAAGAUUGCAUAGUCCCUCGAAGAAGGGGAGGGGGACAAGAACCCCUGAGCAAAGUGGGAGCAUGGGGUGGGGAGAGGAAGGAAGUGGGAAGGGAAGAAGGGGAGGGGGGAGGAGAACAAGAGGACCGAGACAGGGGAGGAAUAGAGGAGGGCAAGAAAGGAGAUGCCUUGAUAGAGGGAGACAGUACAGGUUUAGAGAGAGGUCUGGCACAGGGGAAAUGAUAGGGGAUCCACAGGGAUGACCCUAACUAAGAAUCUAGGCAGUGGUGGAGAGGAUGCCAUUGAUGCCCUUCCCCUAUAAUCAGAUUGAUGUCUACCUUGGUUAUCAUUCCUAGAGCCUUCAUCCAAUAGCAGCUGUUCGAAGCAGAAACAGGCACCCACAGCUAAGCACUGAACCAUAUUCCUGAGAUCCAGUUGUGGAGAGGGAGGAGGGAUGAACAAAAGAACCAAGACAGUGCUGGAGAAACUCACAGAAACAGUUGACCUGACCUACUGAGACCAUGGAGACCCUAGUCAUAAAGCUGGAGAAACAGCUCUGAAUGUGGGUGCCAGUUAGGAGGCCAAGACAGUCUAUGGAACCUCUAACAGUGGAGCCAGUCUUUAUCCCUAGAGCACAAGUGGAUUUUGGGAGCCCAUUCCCUAUGGAGGGAUACUAUUGCAGCCCAGAUACAGCAAGGAGGGCCUAGGCCCUCCCCCAAAUGAUAUGACGGACUUUGAGGGUCCCCGUGGAGGGCCUCACUAUCCCUGGGGAGGAGUUGGGGGAU